This 495-nucleotide ribosomal RNA is filed under the name uncultured bacterium. RNAcentral's name for it is "partial 16S ribosomal RNA". It matches the Rfam family "Bacterial small subunit ribosomal RNA", at positions 28 to 507 of the family's 1533-position model. The record is from RNAcentral.
GACGAACGCUGGCGGCGUGCCUAAUACAUGCAAGUAGAACGCUGAAGGAGGAGCUUGCUUCUCUGGAUGAGUUGCGAACGGGUGAGUAACGCGUAGGUAACCUGCCUGGUAGCGGGGGAUAACUAUUGGAAACGAUAGCUAAUACCGCAUAAUAGUAGAUGUUGCAUGACAUUUGCCUAAAAGGUGCAAUUGCAUCACUACCAGAUGGACCUGCGUUGUAUUAGGUAGUUGGUGGGGUAACGGCUCAACAAGGCGACGAUACAUAACCGACCUGGGAGGGUGAUCGGCCACACUGGGACUGGGACACGGCCCAGACUCCUACGGGAGGCAGCCGUAGGGAAUCUUCGGCAAUGGACGGAAGUCUGAACGAGGAAAACCGCGUGAGUGAAGAAGGUUUUCGGAUCGUAAAGAUCUGUUGUAAGAGAAGAACGAGUGUGAGAGUGGAAAGUUCACACUGUGACGGUAUCUUACCAGAAAGGGACGGCUAACUACGUG